UGCCAGCAGCCGCGGUAAUACGGAGGGGGUUAGCGUUGUUCGGAAUUACUGGGCGUAAAGCGCGCGUAGGCGGACCAGAAAGUUAGGGGUGAAAUCCCGGGGCUCAACCCCGGAACUGCCUCUAAAACUCCUGAUCUAGAGUUCGAGAGAGGUGAGUGGAAUUCCGAGUGUAGAGGUGAAAUUCGUAGAUAUUCGGAGGAACACCAGUGGCGAAGGCGGCUCACUGGCUCGAUACUGAAGCUGAGUUGCGAAAGUGUGGGGAGAAAACAGGAUUAGAUA
Molecule: ribosomal RNA, 279 nt
Filed under: uncultured bacterium
Lineage: Bacteria
Description: partial 16S ribosomal RNA
Rfam family: Bacterial small subunit ribosomal RNA
Source: RNAcentral